This 774-nucleotide ribosomal RNA is filed under the name uncultured Neocallimastigales. Its description in RNAcentral is "partial large subunit ribosomal RNA". It matches the Rfam family "Eukaryotic large subunit ribosomal RNA", at positions 24 to 644 of the family's 3401-position model. The record is from RNAcentral. Lineage: Eukaryota; Fungi; Neocallimastigomycota; Neocallimastigomycetes; Neocallimastigales.
AUCUCUGUAGAGUCUGCAUAUCAAUAAGCGGAGGAAAAGAAACUAACAAGGAUUCCCUUAGUAACGGCGAGUGAAGCGGGGAGAGCUCAAAUUUGAAAUCUUCAAGGUUCUACCUUGACGAAUUGUAGUUUAAAGAAGUGUUUUCUGUUGGAGUUGAGUAGCAAAAGUUCUUGGAAUAGGACAUCAUAGAGGGUGAGAAUCCCGUAUUUGGUUAUUCAUUCUAGCUUUGUGAUACACUUUCAAAGAGUCGGAUUGUUUGGGAAUGCAGUCCAAAAUGGGUGGUAAAUUUCAUCUAAAGCUAAAUAUUGGCGAGAGACCGAUAGCGAACAAGUACCGUGAGGGAAAGAUGAAAAGAACUUUGAAAAGAGAGUUAAACAGUACGUGAAAUUGUCAAAAGGGAAGCGUUUGACACCAGUGUUGUUUUUCCGAAAAUCAAUUACGAAUGGCUUGAUUUUGUGUUGUAUUGACCUUAUCAGCUUUCUGCACUUUUUUCGAGUCUUUCUUAAUGCACUUUUCGGUUAACAAGUCAACAUCAAUUUCUUUUGUUGUAAAAGAGUAUUCGGAAGGUGGCUUUCUUUUCGGAGAAAGUGUUUAUAGCCCUAUACUUCUACAAUCGGAGAGAUUGAGGUCUGCAGCGUAGAUCCUUCGGGGUUAGAUACAUUUGUGCUAAGUUGUAGCUUUUCAUAGACAACUUGUUGACUAUGUUUAGUCAUGCGGCUUACUCGCUUAUGCUAUUUUACCUACGCUUAGGAUGUUGACUGAUAUGUAGUCGUA